GGCAACAGUCGCGCAAAGUCGAUUGGUGGUUACCGGUCUUACAGUUUGAAUCAUCACGCAGGCAAAAUGUGCCGAGCUAUACUGCCAAGAGCCGCGAUGGAAGACCCGAAAAAUCAACAAGUUUCCGAGGCAACGUCGCGCACCGAUUGGGUGGCUACCGGUCUCUAGAUAUGAAGAAAUGAGCAGAGCUAUACUGCCAAGAGCCGCGAUGGAAGAC
Molecule: long non-coding RNA, 217 nt
Organism: Priapulus caudatus
Lineage: Eukaryota; Metazoa; Priapulida; Priapulimorpha; Priapulimorphida; Priapulidae
Exons: 3
Source: RefSeq, a predicted model, not a curated record